RNAcentral lists this ribosomal RNA (253 nucleotides) under uncultured bacterium. RNAcentral describes it as "partial 16S ribosomal RNA". It matches the Rfam family "Bacterial small subunit ribosomal RNA", at positions 524 to 776 of the family's 1533-position model. The record is from RNAcentral.
UACGUAGGGCGCAAGCGUUGUCCGGAAUUAUUGGGCGUAAAGAGCUCGUAGGCGGUUUGUCGCGUCUGCUGUGAAAACCCGAGGCUCAACCUCGGGCCUGCAGUGGGUACGGACAGACUAGAGUGCGGUAGGGGAGACUGGAAUUCCUGGUGUAGCGGUGGAAUGCGCAGAUAUCAGGAGGAACACCGAUGGCGAAGGCAGGUCUCUGGGCCGCAACUGACGCUGAGGAGCGAAAGCAUGGGGAGCGAACAGG